This 505-nucleotide ribosomal RNA is filed under the name Psammotaea minor. RNAcentral describes it as "partial 16S ribosomal RNA". It matches the Rfam family "Bacterial large subunit ribosomal RNA", at positions 1800 to 2615 of the family's 2925-position model. The record is from RNAcentral. Lineage: Eukaryota; Metazoa; Mollusca; Bivalvia; Cardiida; Psammobiidae.
CUGUUUAUUCAAAAACAUGGCUCUCUGAAUAAAAGAUAGGGGGUCAGGCCUGCCCGGUGGGUUUCUUAACGGUCGCAGCUUUUACUGUGCUAAGGUAGCGUAAUAGGUCGUCCUUUAAUUGGGGAAAAGUAUGAAUGGUCAGAUGGUGGAAAAACUUUAUUGGAAAUAAUAGCUUGAAAUUUACUUCUUAGUGCAAAGGCUAAGAUAAAUUUACUAGACGAGAAGACCCUGUUGAGCUUAAUAUGGUGCAGUCUUUACUGGUUGUAAGGUACGUUUAUUCGGGGCCGAAAGGAAGGGACAGGUAUUCCUUCUUGGUGUUGUGCGGAUCCAACAUGGUUGAAAAGAAGAAGAAGUUACCACAGGGAUAACAGCGCAAUCUCCUUGUCAAGGCCAUAUUUGAGGGUGGGUUUGCGACCUCGAUGUUGAAUCAGAAUUUCUACUGGGUGUAGCAGCUUGGUAAGUGGGACUGUUCGUCUUUUGAAAUUUUACGUGAUCUGAGUUCAGA